Amylocarpus encephaloides is the source of this 105-nucleotide non-coding RNA. The record is from the annotation of a GenBank genome assembly. Lineage: Eukaryota; Fungi; Ascomycota; Leotiomycetes; Helotiales.
GGUGGUGUGGUGUAAUGGUAGCACGUCACGUUGUGGUUUUCCCUUGCUCGUACAGGACUUUCAUAUUAGCCCGUGAUAAUCGGGGUUCGAUUCCCUGCACCGCCA